GGUCUUGACAUCCCGGAGACCCUUAGGAAACUAGGGGGUGCUUCCAUCUGGAAGGAAUCUGGAGACAGGUGCUGCAUGGCUGUCGUCAGCUCCGUGUCGUGAGAUGUUGGGUUAAGUCCCGCAACGAGCGCAACCCUUGCCUUUAGUUGCCAGCAGUUCGGCUGGGCACUCUAAAGGGACUGCCGGUGUUAAACCGGAGGAAGGUGGGGAUGACGUCAAGUCCUCAUGGCCUUUAUGGCCAGGGCUACACACGUACUACAAUGGCCGAUACAAAGGGCAGCGACACUGCGAGGUGAAGCCAAUCCCGUAAAAUCGGUCUCAGUCCGGAUUGGAGUCUGCAACUCGACUCCAUGAAGUUGGAAUCGCUAGUAAUCGUGGAUCAGCAUGCCACGGUGAAUACGUUCCCGGGCCUU
This 413-nucleotide ribosomal RNA is filed under the name uncultured Desulfobulbus sp. Its description in RNAcentral is "bacterial SSU rRNA". It matches the Rfam family "Bacterial small subunit ribosomal RNA", at positions 977 to 1382 of the family's 1533-position model. The record is from RNAcentral. Lineage: Bacteria; Pseudomonadati; Thermodesulfobacteriota; Desulfobulbia; Desulfobulbales; Desulfobulbaceae.